Molecule: ribosomal RNA, 253 nt
Filed under: uncultured bacterium
Lineage: Bacteria
Description: partial 16S ribosomal RNA
Rfam family: Bacterial small subunit ribosomal RNA
Source: RNAcentral
UACAGAGGUCUCAAGCGUUGUUCGGAUUUAUUGGGCGUAAAGGGCGUGUAGGCGGCGCGCUAAGUCGGGUGUGAAAUUUCGGAGCUUAACUCCGAAACUGCAUUCGAUACUGGCGUGCUUGAGGACUGGAGAGGAGACUGGAAUUCAUGGUGUAGCAGUGAAAUGCGUAGAGAUCAUGAGGAAGACCAGUGGCGAAGGCGGGUCUCUGGACAGUUCCUGACGCUGAGACACGAAGGCCAGGGGAGCAAACGGG